AAGCAUGACUCUCAACGAUGGAUAUCUUGGUCCUCACCUCGAUGAAGAACGCUGUGAAAUGCGAUACUUGAUGUGAAUUGUAGAAUCUCGUGAAACAUUGAGUUUUUGAACGCAAGUUGCGCCCGACGCCAUUCGGAGUAGGGCACGCCUGCUUGGGUGU
Molecule: ribosomal RNA, 160 nt
Filed under: Langsdorffia heterotepala
Lineage: Eukaryota; Viridiplantae; Streptophyta; Magnoliopsida; Santalales; Balanophoraceae
Description: 5.8S ribosomal RNA
Rfam family: 5.8S ribosomal RNA
About the family: 5.8S ribosomal RNA (5.8S rRNA) is a component of the large subunit of the eukaryotic ribosome.
Source: RNAcentral